RNAcentral lists this long non-coding RNA (447 nucleotides) under Eutrema salsugineum. RNAcentral's name for it is "long non-coding RNA (ESAL_LNC000353)". Lineage: Eukaryota; Viridiplantae; Streptophyta; Magnoliopsida; Brassicales; Brassicaceae. The record is from RNAcentral.
UAAUGGUCGGAAUAAUAGUAAUUCAUUAGAAAGAAGUCGAGAGAAUCAAAUAGUCAGCGAAUUAUAGUGAAAGAGUUAAAUACUAUUACCAUAUAUAAAUAUUAGAAAGAAGCCUAGGGCAAUUAAAUUAGUUAUAUAAAAAGUACAAAACAUGGUACAGUAACAUAUAUGACCCGAUCCAUUCAUGCUGCUGGCGCAUAAUCAUAGAUAAGAUCAUCAUCGUUGUCACCAUCUUCUACCAAAACAGAUUGAGCAUACUCAAAUGCUUGAUGAUCACUGUUAACGACGUCGCAUCUAAUGCACAUCCCAUGGCCAUUAAUGCAGAGAACAAAUUCGGUGACAGAAAUCAUAAGUUUUUGUUUUUUUUGAAUAAUGGGAAAAGUGAAAGUAUAAAUUAAGUGUCUAUAAGAGCAAAUGCAAAACGCAGAUGUUUGAUGAGUGAAGAAG